RNAcentral lists this long non-coding RNA (1192 nucleotides) under Ananas comosus (pineapple). RNAcentral's name for it is "long non-coding RNA (ACOM_LNC034251)". Lineage: Eukaryota; Viridiplantae; Streptophyta; Magnoliopsida; Poales; Bromeliaceae. The record is from RNAcentral.
AUCUUACCCUCUUAUGGCAUAAUAGAAUAUUUUUAGGACGUAAUGAAAGUCCUAUUAGCUUUAGGAUUGUGAACACUUUUAUGCCAUAAUAGAACACUUGUAAGGGUUAAUAAAACACUCUUAAUAGAUUUACGGUUGUGAACAUUCUUUUGUCAUAGUAGAACUCUUAGGCCCCGUUUGGUUGGGGGGAUAAGCGGGGAUAACGAAAGUUAUCCCCGCUAUUCCGCCAAACGAAAUGAAAACUGGCCGGGAUAUUUUAUCCCGGUCAAACCUUGCUAUUCCCGGUUAUCCCGGGAUAGCAAGGAAUUUGCUAUUCCACCAUUUUGGUGGAAUAGCGCUAUUCCAAUGCUUAAUUUCAAACUUAAUUAAAAUUAUAAAUUAAAUUAAAACUAAAGUAUAUAUAAAUAUAAUAUAUUAUAUAUUAUAAUACAUUAUUUUUAUUAUAAAAUUAUUAAUUAUACUAUAUUAAUACAUAUUAUUUAUAUUUAAAUAUUAUAAUAAAAUUUAUAAUAAAUUAUAUUUAAGUAUUAUAAUAAAUUCUUUUUAUUAAAUUUAAGUUUAAGUAGAAUUUUUAAAAAAAUCUAUAAAUUUAUUAUAAUAAAUUAUUUUUAUUAAUUGUUCCCACCCCUAUUCUUAUUUUAAAAAUUUAAAAAUUAAAAUUUUAAAUUUUUAAAAUUUAUAAUUUAUAAUCUCAAAAUUAAAGUUUAUAAUUUUAAAUUAUAAAUUAUAAAUUAUAAAUUUUAAUUUUGAUAUUUUAAUUUUGAAAUUUAAAAUUUGAUAUUUUAUAUUUAUUAAAUUUAAAUUUAAUCUUAAAUUUAAAGUUUGAAAUUUAAAAAUUUAAAUUUCAAUAUAAUAAGAGGAUAAUAUGAUUAUUUUUUAUUUAUAAAAAUUCACUAUCUUCCUUAUUCUAUCGUACCUAACCAAACGCUAUUUUUUUUAAUCCCAAGAAUAGGCCAAUUUUCAUCCAAACGCAAAAUUGAUUUAAUUCCCGCUUAUACCUCAAUUUAUAUCUAUCCCUGGAAUAGCCACUUUUUGCUUAUCCCCGAACCAAACGAUACCUUAGAGCUUAAUAAGACACUUUUAUCAGGUUUACAGUUGCGAACAUGUAUGCAUUAUAAUCUUACCCUCUUAUGCCUUAAUAGAACAUUCUUAAAGCUUAAUAGAACACUCCCAUUAGUUUUAGGGUUGUGAA